RNAcentral lists this transfer RNA (74 nucleotides) under Gammaproteobacteria bacterium. Its description in RNAcentral is "tRNA-Gln". It matches the Rfam family "tRNA". Rfam says of the family: Transfer RNA (tRNA) molecules are approximately 80 nucleotides in length. Their secondary structure includes four short double-helical elements and three loops (D, anti-codon, and T loops). The record is from RNAcentral. Lineage: Bacteria; Pseudomonadati; Pseudomonadota; Gammaproteobacteria.
UCCCCGCUCGUUCAAUGGAAGGACACCCGGCUUUGACCCGGGAGAUCGCGGUUCAAGUCCGUGGCGGGGAGCCA